UACGAAGGGGGCUAGCGUUGUUCGGAAUCACUGGGCGUAAAGGGCGCGUAGGCGGCUUUGUAAGUCGGGGGUGAAGGCCUGUGGCUCAACCACAGAAUUGCCUUCGAUACUGCAUGGCUUGAGACCGGAAGAGGUAAGUGGAACUGCGAGUGUAGAGGUGAAAUUCGUAGAUAUUCGCAAGAACACCAGUGGCGAAGGCGGCUUACUGGUCCGGUUCUGACGCUGAGGCGCGAAAGCUAGGGGAGCGAACAGG
Molecule: ribosomal RNA, 253 nt
Filed under: uncultured bacterium
Lineage: Bacteria
Description: partial 16S ribosomal RNA
Rfam family: Bacterial small subunit ribosomal RNA
Source: RNAcentral